GAACGAGAAAGUUCCUUCGGGAGCAAUUAAAGUGGCGCACGGGUGAGUAACGCGUAGACAAUCUGCCCUUCAGUCUGGGACAACUUUUCGAAAGGAGAGCUAAUACCGGAUAACAAUGCAUGACACAAGUUGUAUAUUUGAAAGCUUUAUGUGCUGAAGGAGGGGUCUGCGUCCCAUUAGCUAGUUGGUAAGGUAAAGGCUUACCAAGGCAACGAUGGGUAGCGGGUUUGAGAGGACGAUCCGCCACACUGGAACUGAGACACGGUCCAGACUCCUACGGGAGGCAGCAGUGGGGAAUAUUGCACAAUGGAGGCAACUCUGAUGCAGCAAUGUCGCGUGAGUGAAGAAGGCCCUUGGGUCGUAAAGCUCUUUUAUGGGGGAAGAUGAUGACGGUACCCCAAGAAUAAGCACCGGCUAACUAUGUGCCAGCAGCCGCGGUAAUACAUAGGGUGCGAGCGUUGUUCGGAAUUACUGGGCGUAAAGGGCGCGCAGGCGGAAUAGUAAGUCGGAGGUGAAAGCCCGGGGCUCAACCCCGGAGGGUCUUUCGAAACUACUAAUCUAGAGAGGGUCAGGGGCCGGCAGAAUUCCUGGUGUAGAGGUGAAAUUCGUAGAUAUCAGGAGGAAUACCGGUGGCGAAGGCGGCCGGCUGGGGCCACUCUGACGCUGAGGCGCGAAAGCGUGGGGAGCAAACAGGAUUAGAUACCCUGGUAGUCCACGCCGUAAACGAUGAGCACUGGACGUCCGGAGGGUUCGACCCUUCUGGGUGUCUCAGCUAACGCAUUAAGUGCUCCGCCUGGGGAGUACGGUCGCAAGACUAAAACUCAAAGGAAUUGACGGAGGCCCGCACAAGCGGUGGAACAUGUGGUCUAAUUCGAUGCAACGCGAAGAACUUACCUGGUCUUGACAUCUCGGACGCUCAGAGAUGAGUUUCUCUCGAGCGAGUGACAGUGCUGCAUGCUGUCGUCAGCUCGUGUCGUGAGAUGUGGGUAGUCCCGCACCGAGCGCACCCCUACCCUAUGCAUCGGUAUGCGGCACUUUAGGGGACUGCGGUGACAGCCGAGAGUGAUGACGUCAAGUCCUCAUGGCCUUAUGACAGCGACUCACCACUGGUUUCAAUGGGAGUUACGAGGGAAGCUAGUCGCAGCCAUGGCAAUCCCCAAAACUUCUAUUCGGAUCCGACUGCACUGCAUUCGUUGAACUGGAAAUCCUAUUAUCGGGAAUAGAAACG
This 1228-nucleotide ribosomal RNA is filed under the name uncultured delta proteobacterium. Its description in RNAcentral is "partial 16S ribosomal RNA". It matches the Rfam family "Bacterial small subunit ribosomal RNA", at positions 64 to 1356 of the family's 1533-position model. The record is from RNAcentral. Lineage: Bacteria; Deltaproteobacteria.